RNAcentral lists this transfer RNA (87 nucleotides) under Candidatus Magasanikbacteria bacterium CG_4_9_14_3_um_filter_32_9. Its description in RNAcentral is "tRNA-Ser". It matches the Rfam family "tRNA". From Rfam's summary of the family: Transfer RNA (tRNA) molecules are approximately 80 nucleotides in length. Their secondary structure includes four short double-helical elements and three loops (D, anti-codon, and T loops). Further hydrogen bonds mediate the characteristic L-shaped molecular structure. tRNAs have two regions of fundamental functional importance: the anti-codon, which is responsible for specific mRNA codon recognition, and the 3' end, to which the tRNAs corresponding amino acid is attached (by aminoacyl-tRNA synthetases). tRNAs cope with the degeneracy of the genetic code in two manners: having more than one tRNA (with a specific anti-codon) for a particular amino acid; and 'wobble' base-pairing, i.e. permitting non-standard base-pairing at the 3rd anti-codon position. Lineage: Bacteria; Candidatus Magasanikiibacteriota. The record is from RNAcentral.
GGUGAGAUGGCAGAGUGGUUUAAUGCGCAUGCUUGGAAAGUAUGUGUACGAGAAAUCGUACCGUGGGUUCAAAUCCCGCUCUCACCG